Xyrichtys novacula (pearly razorfish) is the source of this 1956-nucleotide non-coding RNA. The record is from the annotation of a GenBank genome assembly. NCBI's taxonomy places the organism in Eukaryota, Metazoa, Chordata, Actinopteri, Labriformes, Labridae.
CAUGUCAACACAUGGUCACAUAGUCUGUUUGCAAGUAUGGCUAACUAGCGUGCAUCAACAGCCUGAAGUCCUCCUUGCAGACUACAAUGUUACAAUGUUGUUUACCAGGUGCCAUCAUCUAAAGCGAUUCACAUUUGAGAGUAGUAAAGAGCUUGUUUUUCCAAGGAAAGGGCACCAGUGCAGGCAUUUUCUCAUCUUUAAUGUAAGUCAGGGGCACCCCAUUAGGCUGACAUGAGGGCUCCAUGAGGGGGCAAGUGUCAGACAUCAUCAGAUACUGUUUUUUAAUUCAUGGGUUAAAAGAGGGACUUUCCUCAUAAGAAUGGUUGCAAAACAAGGCCCUGUUGUAAUUAAUAUUAUUUUGUCCUGUCAUAGCUCAGACACCUUUUCUUUGUGGCCCUCUGGACUGGCUGGAUAGGUAAGUGAUGACCUGCACCCCCAAAAAGCCCCAAGCCAAAGUGUUUAUGUUAAGCCUGAAUUUUUGUGUCUUUUUAUUGAAAAGACUUCUGAAUAAUUUUGAAGCUCCCUUUACGUCUUCUCUCUGUGUUCUGUUGUGUUUCAUCUUCUAUUCCCACAGUUAAUAUCAAAUAACAGAGAAUGUUGUAUAACUGAAACUCCCUGCCUCCUACCAUCUAGUGCACAGUGUCCCCCAUCAGCAGCACGUGGCUCCAACAAUACCAUUCAGUAAAAACACACGCGUUCAGGCUGCUGACUACAUCUACAACACAUACACGCUAAAACACACGUAUAUAUACACACACACACAGACACACCUCCAGCAACACCUGCCAUCCAGCUCCUGUGUGUGUGUGUGUGUUUGUGUGUAUGUGUGAGUGUGCAGUCAGUGGGAGUGAAUAAUGAGAGCGGUCAGCAGCAACACGUGAACACUUCCCCUGCUGGACAUCACACAUGAAGUAGGGACGGGGGUGGGUGGGACAGGGGAUGCCGUGGUUGCCAUGGUGCCCAUUCCGGUUGCAUUCAACCCCUACGACUUGUACAGAAUCCCACACAAAUAUACGCUCACAUCUCUGGCACAUAGAAAGUGAAGAAGAUCUUUUUCUUUCAUUCAGUUUUCUCCUAAAAAAAUAUAACAAUGAAAAAUCAAACACUAUGUUCCUAUUUCCUUUGUGACAUAGACAUCUUGUUAAAGAAACUGAGAUAAUAUACCUCAAGAGAAGAGGUGUACGGGGCUUUAUCACCCCUCCUGGUGUUUUUCAAAUCUUGGGAAAGCUUCCUCAAAGAUGCAUCUGUAGUAUAUAAAACAUUAUAAAAGUCUCAUUCUGGUCCCUUCUCAGUCAAAAAUGCUACAAAUAGUUUUAGAAGCAGCUCUUCUGAAGUACGAAACAUGAAAAAGUGUUUUCUUGCUGCUCUGCCAGUGUAAAAAAAAUGUAAAAGGUGCUCUCAUAACGCCCUUUAGUAUAAGCCUUAAAAAGUGCCCUUUAGAUGCUCCUUUAGCCCAGGAUUUAGAUUCCCUUCUAGUAAAAAAAAUAAGCCUAAAAAAAAGCCUCAAAGAUGCCCCCUGUCAUAUAAAGACACAAUUUUUAGUUGCCCUUUUGGCAAAAAAGUAGUCACAAGGGCUCUUUAUAUCCCCUCCCAGUAUUCAAAGCCUCAAGAAGUGCCCAAAGAUGCCCCCUUAGUAUGUAAUAAGCAAAAAAAGUGUUCUCCAGAUGCUGCCAGUAGCUAUACAAAGCCUCACAAGUGCCCUUUAGAUACCUUAAACUCAAAAAGUGCUUCACAGAUGCCCUUCCAGUUUAUAAAGCCACCCAAAAGUGCUUUUUAAGAUGCCUUUAGAGAAUAUAAUACUCAAGAAGUGAGUGCAUGUGUGCUGACCAUGCAUGCAGCCCGUUAGAGGUGCUCUUGUUUACUGACUUCCUCCCCGGGAUAAAUUAAAUAUUCUGAUUCAGGUUCUGAAAGUGCUCCAUAGAUGUCUUGCCAGUGUACAAAGGCUAAAAAAAGAGC